GAUGAAGAACGUAGCGAAAUGCGAUAAGUAGUGUGAAUUGCAGAAUUACCUGAAUCAUCGUAUCUUUGAACGCACAUUGCGCCCCCUGGUAUUCCUGGGGGCAUGCCUGUUCGAGCGUCAUUAACAACCAAUCGGGCGGGGCUUUUGCAUGCUCCCGCUCGGCCAUGGGGGAUGGACGUCGUCGGACGCCCACCCCCGAAAUGCAACGGCGGACGGCCACCCGUGGCACUGCGGCGUAGUAAGUUAACCCUUCGCGCGCGCCCACGGAGUGGACUGCCCGGCCGCUUGAACCCCCACACAUCCUACGGUUGACCUCGGAUCAGGUAGGGAUACCCGCUGAACUUAAGCAUAUCAAUAAGCGGAGGA
Molecule: unclassified non-coding RNA, 366 nt
Filed under: soil metagenome
Description: partial contains 5.8S ribosomal RNA, internal transcribed spacer 2, and large subunit ribosomal RNA
Rfam family: 5.8S ribosomal RNA (bases 1-120)
Source: RNAcentral